GCAGUGGGAGCACGCUUAGGCGUGUGACUGCGUACCUUUUGUAUAAUGGGUCAGCGACUUAUAUUCUGUAGCAAGGUUAACCGAAUAGGGGAGCCGAAGGGAAACCGAGUCUUAACUGGGCGUUAAGUUGCAGGGUAUAGACCCGAAACCCGGUGAUCUAGCCAUGGGCAGGUUGAAGGUUGGGUAACACUAACUGGAGGACCGAACCGACUAAUGUUGAAAAAUUAGCGGAUGACUUGUGGCUGGGGGUGAAAGGCCAAUCAAACCGGGAGAUAGCUGGUUCUCCCCGAAAGCUAUUUAGGUAGCGCCUCGUGAAUUCAUCUCCGGGGGUAGAGCACUGUUUCGGCAAGGGGGUCAUCCCGACUUACCAACCCGAUGCAAACUGCGAAUACCGGAGAAUGUUAUCACGGGAGACACACGGCGGGUGCUAACGUCCGUCGUGAAGAGGGAAACAACCCAGACCGCCAGCUAAGGUCCCAAAGUCAUGGUUAAGUGGGAAACGAUGUGGGAAGGCCCAGACAGCCAGGAUGUUGGCUUAGAAGCAGCCAUCAUUUAAAGAAAGCGUAAUAGCUCACUGGUCGAGUCGGCCUGCGCGGAAGAUGUAACGGGGCUAAACCAUGCACCGAAGCUGCGGCAGCGACGCUGAUGCGUUGUUGGGUAGGGGAGCGUUCUGUAAGCCUGUGAAGGUGUGCUGUGAGGCAUGCUGGAGGUAUCAGAAGUGCGAAUGCUGACAUAAGUAACGAUAAAGCGGGUGAAAAGCCCGCUCGCCGGAAGACCAAGGGUUCCUGUCCAACGUUAAUCGGGGCAGGGUGAGUCGACCCCUAAGGCGAGGCCGAAAGGCGUAGUCGAUGGGAAACAGGUUAAUAUUCCUGUACUUGGUGUUACUGCGAAGGGGGGACGGAGAAGGCUAUGUUGGCCGGGCGACGGUUGUCCCGGUUUAAGCGUGUAGGCUGGUUUUCCAGGCAAAUCCGGAAAACUAAGGCUGAGGCGUGAUGACGAGGCACUACGGUGCUGAAGCAACAAAUGCCCUGCUUCCAGGAAAAGCCUCUAAGCAUCAGGUAACAUCAAAUCGUACCCCAAACCGACACAGGUGGUCAGGUAGAGAAUACCAAGGCGCUUGAGAGAACUCGGGUGAAGGAACUAGGCAAAAUGGUGCCGUAACUUCGGGAGAAGGCACGCUGAUAUGUAGGUGAAGUCCCUCGCGGAUGGAGCUGAAAUCAGUCGAAGAUACCAGCUGGCUGCAACUGUUUAUUAAAAACACAGCACUGUGCAAACACGAAAGUGGACGUAUACGGUGUGACGCCUGCCCGGUGCCGGAAGGUUAAUUGAUGGGGUCAGCGCAAGCGAAGCUCUUGAUCGAAGCCCCGGUAAACGGCGGCCGUAACUAUAACGGUCCUAAGGUAGCGAAAUUCCUUGUCGGGUAAGUUCCGACCUGCACGAAUGGCGUAAUGAUGGCCAGGCUGUCUCCACCCGAGACUCAGUGAAAUUGAACUCGCUGUGAAGAUGCAGUGUACCCGCGGCAAGACGGAAAGACCCCGUGAACCUUUACUAUAGCUUGACACUGAACAUUGAGCCUUGAUGUGUAGGAUAGGUGGGAGGCUUUGAAGUGUGGACGCCAGUCUGCAUGGAGCCGACCUUGAAAUACCACCCUUUAAUGUUUGAUGUUCUAACGUUGACCCGUAAUCCGGGUUGCGGACAGUGUCUGGUGGGUAGUUUGACUGGGGCGGUCUCCUCCUAAAGAGUAACGGAGGAGCACGAAGGUUGGCUAAUCCUGGUCGGACAUCAGGAGGUUAGUGCAAUGGCAUAAGCCAGCUUGACUGCGAGCGUGACGGCGCGAGCAGGUGCGAAAGCAGGUCAUAGUGAUCCGGUGGUUCUGAAUGGAAGGGCCAUCGCUCAACGGAUAAAAGGUACUCCGGGGAUAACAGGCUGAUACCGCCCAAGAGUUCAUAUCGACGGCGGUGUUUGGCACCUCGAUGUCGGCUCAUCACAUCCUGGGGCUGAAGUAGGUCCCAAGGGUAUGGCUGUUCGCCAUUUAAAGUGGUACGCGAGCUGGGUUUAGAACGUCGUGAGACAGUUCGGUCCCUAUCUGCCGUGGGCGCUGGAGAACUGAGGGGGGCUGCUCCUAGUACGAGAGGACCGGAGUGGACGCAUCACUGGUGUUCGGGUUGUCAUGCCAAUGGCACUGCCCGGUAGCUAAAUGCGGAAGAGAUAAGUGCUGAAAGCAUCUAAGCACGAAACUUGCCCCGAGAUGAGUUCUCCCUGACUCCUUGAGAGUCCUGAAGGAACGUUGAAG
RNAcentral lists this ribosomal RNA (2293 nucleotides) under Escherichia coli. RNAcentral describes it as "partial 23S ribosomal RNA". It matches the Rfam family "Bacterial large subunit ribosomal RNA", at positions 570 to 2843 of the family's 2925-position model. The record is from RNAcentral. Lineage: Bacteria; Pseudomonadati; Pseudomonadota; Gammaproteobacteria; Enterobacterales; Enterobacteriaceae.